RNAcentral lists this transfer RNA (88 nucleotides) under Candidatus Uhrbacteria bacterium. RNAcentral describes it as "tRNA-Ser". It matches the Rfam family "tRNA". Rfam says of the family: Transfer RNA (tRNA) molecules are approximately 80 nucleotides in length. The record is from RNAcentral. Lineage: Bacteria; Candidatus Uhriibacteriota.
GGUGGGGUCGCAUAGUGGUCGAGUGCGCUCGCUUGGAAAGCGAGUAGACCGCAAGGUCUCGCGGGUUCGAAUCCCGCCCCCACCGCCA